RNAcentral lists this transfer RNA (67 nucleotides) under Eucnemidae sp. 4 ACP-2013. RNAcentral's name for it is "tRNA-Lys". The record is from RNAcentral. Lineage: Eukaryota; Metazoa; Arthropoda; Insecta; Coleoptera; Eucnemidae.
UCAUUGAGUGGCUGAUUAAAGUAAUGGUCUCUUAAACCACAAAAUGAUAAAAAUUUUAUCCUCAAUG